GUGGGGAAUAUUGGACAAUGGGCGCAAGCCUGAUCCAGCCAUGCCGCGUGAGUGAUGACGGCCCUAGGGUUGUAAAGCUCUUUUACCCGGGAAGAUAAUGACGGUACCGGGAGAAUAAGCCCCGGCUAACUUCGUGCCAGCAGCCGCGGUAAUACGAAGGGGGCUAGCGUUGUUCGGAUUUACUGGGCGUAAAGCGCACGUAGGCGGACGCUUAAGUCAGGGGUGAAAUCCCGAGGCUCAACCUCGGAACUGCCUUUGAUACUGGGUGUCUUGAGUCCGGAAGAGGUGAGUGGAACUGCGAGUGUAGAGGUGAAAUUCGUAGAUAUUCGCAAGAACACCAGUGGCGAAGGCGGCUCACUGGUCCGGAACUGACGCUGAGGUGCGAAAGCGUGGGGAGCAAACAGG
Molecule: ribosomal RNA, 405 nt
Filed under: uncultured Methylocella sp.
Lineage: Bacteria; Pseudomonadati; Pseudomonadota; Alphaproteobacteria; Hyphomicrobiales; Beijerinckiaceae
Description: bacterial SSU rRNA
Rfam family: Bacterial small subunit ribosomal RNA
Source: RNAcentral